RNAcentral lists this long non-coding RNA (611 nucleotides) under Felis catus (domestic cat). Its description in RNAcentral is "lncRNA (ENSFCAG00000047380.1)". The record is from RNAcentral. Lineage: Eukaryota; Metazoa; Chordata; Mammalia; Carnivora; Felidae.
AUUUUUUUUUACAUUUAUUUAUUUUUGAGAGACAGAGUGAGACUAAGUGAGAGUAGGGGAGGAGCAGAGAGAGAGGGAGACACAGAAUCGGAAGCAGGCUCCAGGCUCUGAGCUGUCAGCACAGAGCCCAACGCGGGGCUCGAACUCACAGACCGCGAGAUCAUGACCUGAGCUGAAGUCGGACGCCCAACUGAUGGAGCCAUCCAGGCGCCCCUACGCAUUCUUUAAAGGAUACCUGACUGACUACAAAGAAUUUGAAUACUGAAGCUUGAUUCAGAGACUGCUACUUCUGUGUUUUAGGAACAUUUAUUCACUCACCUGGUUGCUGCCGGAAAGAACUCAGUGUGGAACAAACGGAGCUGGUUGAAGGGCAUUUGUUGGAAGAGGAAAAUGCCAUACUAAAGGAGUUUUGUUGGGCUUUCACUGAAUAGAUUGCUUUGAGUGCUCAGCUACCUUAUAUAGGUGAAAGCAGGUACCUAUAUCAGCAAAGCAUGAAAAAUUCAUUUCUGUAGGCUGUUUCCUGAUGCAGAGGACCAAAAGAUACCCAGGCUCUGACUAUACAUAAUUUAAAGUCCAGAGGCGGGCAGGCUCCUAGCGUCACAGUUUGGUGG